CUGUCUUAUUUAUAAAAGUUGAAUUUGACUUUUGAGUGAAAAGGCUUAAAUAUUAGAAAGGGACGAUAAGACCCUAUAAAACUUUAUAUAAAAUAAGUUUUUUAUUAUAGUUAUUUGUUUAGUACUAAAUAAGUUAUUAAUAUUUUAUUGGGGCGAUAGGAAUAUAAAUAGCUAACUGUUCUUUUAUUAUAACAAAUAUUAUUGUUUUUGAUGAUCCUCGGUAGAGAUUGAAAGGUAAAGUUACUUUAGGGAUAACAGCGUAAUUUUUUUUGAGAGUUCUUAUCGACAAAAGAGAUUGCGACCUCGAUGUUGAAUUAAAAUUUCUUUAUGGUGCAGGAGCUAUAUGAGAGAGUCUGUUCGACUUUUAAAUUUUUA
RNAcentral lists this ribosomal RNA (375 nucleotides) under Odontozona aff. sculpticaudata LMT-2017. Its description in RNAcentral is "partial 16S ribosomal RNA". It matches the Rfam family "Bacterial large subunit ribosomal RNA", at positions 2048 to 2598 of the family's 2925-position model. Lineage: Eukaryota; Metazoa; Arthropoda; Malacostraca; Decapoda; Stenopodidae. The record is from RNAcentral.